Esox lucius (northern pike) is the source of this 4220-nucleotide long non-coding RNA. The record is from Ensembl. NCBI's taxonomy places the organism in Eukaryota, Metazoa, Chordata, Actinopteri, Esociformes, Esocidae.
GUAGUUUUUUUUUUUUUUUUCACAGAAAGUCAAAUUCGAGCACAUGCACAUGUAGAAAAGUUAAAACAAAAAUCAUAAAUGUGACAUCAAAAUACAUACUACGGAUAUGUACAUACAUACACAGUGAGUGCUUUGUGCAAAUGUAUAGAGAUUAUGUUCAUUGUGUUUUUAAAUGAUACAUUGGCUAUGGUUAACGUGCACAAAUUACAAACAUCAAACCAAAUGGCACACCGACCGAUUGAAAAGUAAAACAAAAGAAAUAAAACACAAUAACAUCUCAGAUCAACAAAUUAAAACUCUUUGGCUUAUUUCAAAUAUAUCAUUCACCCAGUGUGGAAAAUAAAACCUUGGAGUUAAUCUUACAUAGCUAGUUUUCCAUAGCAGUGGAAGAAAAUGAGUGUGCAACUUAAUCACUUAGCGAGUGAAUUACAAACUUUUUUUGCUUGUGAUGACAGUUUGAAUGUGCUUUACACACCCAUUAGUAUUUAAAAAGGAAAAGAAAAAUAUAUAUAUAUAUAUUCUCUGCAAAAAAUAAACAUUUUUAUCUCAUAUACAUUACCCUCCAAUACAUUUCCCUUGUAUAGUUCCUUUAGUGAAAGCCUGGUAAAAGGACUUACUCGGCAGGGGAAAAGACACGCAGGGUCAAACACCAGUUCAGUAAGGUCAAUACUUGUUUCCCUUAAUAUUCACUGAUCUAUUUUGUGCAAUGUUUGUUUGGGGCAUUUGUCUCCCAGUUAGUAUUAUAUGUGAUUAUUCUGCAAGGUUAAGCUGGCGGGGAGUGUGGCUUGUAACACCAGAAUUUCGGGUUUCAUUCCUGGGACUGCACAUACAUGAAAUUAAUGCACUCAUGACUACAUUGCUUUGGAUAAAGACAUCAACUAAAUGGCAUGUGUUAUUACAUUACUUGAAUUAUGUCAAAUUCAGCUCAAAUAGGCUCAGAAAAUCUUUAUCCAUGUCAUGAAAGCUAACAUGCAAACCCUACAGUUGGUAAGGACUGACAAUAUACAGGGACAGAAUUCAAUGAUGAAUAGUGGGAGUUUAUAGGGGAAAGAAGUUGUACUGAAAAGCACGUGCCCACACGCGCACACACGCACACACAAAUGUAGAUGCACAUAUCAGGUGUGAAAAUCACACAAACAAGCAAAGUCAUUCCUUCCUUUUCAUCACUCCUUCUCGUCCUCCAUUUUGACCAGACAGCACAGAGUCCGAGACAGGUUAAUUCAUCCUUUUAUUCCUUUUGAUUUUUGUAUUCAUGACGCAGGUGUUCCAGGUGUGGGUCUUCGAAGACGGGUGGUGUGCCCGUAUCCCUCCCCUCUGCUCGUUAGUUCCCUUUGCAAAAAUAUAGGCCCUUAGUUACCAGUCUUGGUUACGGUGCCCUUUCAAUGCUCAAAACAAAUUGCUACAGUACUCUGUCUCUGAACUCACUGCACAGACAACUGAGAACUAUAAACCAAAUAGGUGGAUGGUUGCAGGUUAUUAUGGUCUGCUCACCAGGAAGAGCAACUAUGGCUUUUCAAAUCUGCCCAAGUCAUAGUCAAUCACACUAAAGAUCAACAUUCCUGUGAUUAAUAAUAUAAACACUGAGUGGAAUUAACAGAUCUUUUCAUUGGCAAACUCACAUUGAAAAUAUACUCUAACUGCGUUGAUUAAUUUCAUAUGCUUAUAUUAUUUAUCUGUGAAAUUGGUCUAAUAGCCCACUUUCUUUUUCCUUGCUCUAAUUGGAUCUCCCUGCAGUUCCACGUAUACCCAAAGCCCAGCUCUAGGAUCACGGCAGACUCUAUCUGAGCCCAAAACAGGAAUCAAAAUGCUGAACUGAACCUAGAUCCUCACCUUUUCUCUUUAAAAGAUAUUCACACAGAUAUACAUUUUGUGUAAGUCACAAAAGUGUCCGAGCUACAUAUUGAUACCCAACAGACCCUUUCUUUCAGAAGUAAAAGCUUGAGUAGAAAAGAGGAAAAGGCAGGAAGAAAGAAACCAUUUGAAAAGCGAGGGAGCAUGGGUAGGAAACCUUGUCCAAAUUAACCUACACAGGAAAUCAGACAGAGAAAAAGAUAAAAGAUAAAAAGCAAGAAAGAAAGCAAAUGGAUAUUUUCUCUGAACAUGAGAUGCAGUUGUAACUGCACACAAAAACGAUUUAUAAUUUCCACAAACACAUCAUCAUCAUUAUCUUCACCAUCAUCAUCCUCAUACAAAACACAAAAAGAAAAAAAAAUGAAAUACAGUCUAUCAUACUUUUUUAGGCACUACAACAAAUUAGCUCUGCGAAAAAAAAUUAACAAAACAUAGGUUGCAUUGCAGCCAAAUAAUUCAAUGAAAGUGGCACAUUUAAAGUACAUUAUUACAGUAGCGCCUAUCUCAAGGAGAGGCUGUGACUGGAGGAAAGGUUAAAUGUCCCACUUCUCAAAACCAGCAUGUCACACCAACCUGAAGGCGGCUGUGAUAAACCCGCAGUUGAAUCUGGAGUCAGUCAAACAAAAUCGUUUUUGUGGCAACAAAUACAUCAGAUAGAAACGUCCUACUAAGUUGAGUUUGCAUGUUAAUAUACAUUAAUAUACAUAACCGGUUGUAAUAUAAACUGGUUCAACUGAUUUCUGUUCCUCAUAGUUCAUGCCAUAAUUACAUAUACACACAGUGGAUAUUAAAAGUCUACACACUCUUAGAAAAUACAGCUUUUGUUUAAGUAAAGGCUGAAAUCGAGAUAAAUAAUGUCAGAAAGGUUUUCACCGUUCAUAACAUCUAUUAACCAACAAUAUUGAAGUGAAAAACAAAUGGUUAAUUUCCCAGAUUUUUUUAAAACAGCAAUGCCUUGAUUGCAGAAGUGUACAGACCCCUAUACUAAUACUUUGUGGAAGCACCUUUUGCUUGAAUUACUGCAGUAAGUCUGUUUGGGUAGGUUUACCAACGUAGCACGCCUUAAUCUAUCAAUGUUUUCCAACUAAUCGUUGCAGUUGAGUUCAAGCUCAUUAAAUUUGUGAGGGGAUCUCCUGUUUGCACAAGAAAUAUCUUAAAAACUGGAGCUAUUCAUUGUCCCCUUCAUCUUGAACAGAGCCCCUGUCCAUUCUGAAAAGAAGCAGCCCCAUAGCAUAAUGCUGCCGCCACCACAUAUGACAGUAGGCACUGUGUAAUUUGGAUAAUAAGCUAAGUUGGCUUUGUGCCAAAUAUAUAUUUCAAAAUUCAUGCCGAAUAUUGUCCUUGGAAGAUGCUGGGUGAAAAAGGAUCUGACAUGAUUUGUAAGGAUUUCACCAUUUACAUAAAAAGCUACAUUUUCAAUAAGGGUGUGCAGACAUUUGAUAUUUACUGUAUUAUCCCUUUAAAAAAAAAAAGAUCUUCAAUUAGUCAAUGGUAGCCUUAAUAAUAUAUGAUUGUCACUCACAGCUAAUGCUUUUUUAAAGUGCAUUCCCAUUUUCAUUAUUACCAAAUAGUCCCUUUAACACCCUACUAUUCCCAUAAACUAUAUCUGGAUGUGCGCUUGUUAAGUGAAUCUACUAUACACCUUAAUACAGAGUGCCACUGUCAUGUAUCUGCUCGGUUUUCUGACCAUGAAGAAUGCUUAAUACAUGUUACAACACAAUUUGGCAGUUCCCAUUGUGGAAGUGUCAGAACACCAUCGAGGGCUGGUCGGGUACACGCUGUGUGCGACACAUUGAGGAGAAAUGUUUUGACCAGUUAAACUCUCGAACAGCCUCUUUAUUUGUUAAACUGGCUUCCUGGAAACGUGGGCCUAAAACGAGGUGUUCUGGAGAUAAGCCCUGUGUGGGGUUUCUAAUUAGUGUCCGGCUUCAGCACAUGCAGUAUAUGAACACUGUAAGCCCUCAUCUAACAGCAGAAACACUUGCAGCUUUUUUCAUUCCCUUUUUCUACCAAGAAUUCUCAGCUUUUUAGCCAUGAUCCUACACUGUCCGUGACUUAAUUAAUUUCCCUUUAGGGUCAGGUGAAAAGGCUACAAUUACAAAGGGAAAAACAAUAUAUGGCACAAACAUUAAUGGUAUAAUAAAAUGAAUUGCAUUAAAAAAUGUGUGUAAUAAAAGAACCACAGCAUCAUCGGUAAUCUAGGUAAAAAAAAAAAAAAAAGCCAUGCUUAAGAUUGUUUCACCUUUUUGUGUUUUUGUUCGAUUAAUGACUUGUUCAUUGACGGUUCUUGUCCUGUAGGCACUUCUUUACAAAUCGAACAAAAUUAAGAACACUAAAAUCAACAACAAAAACCCGGUCCCCCUUCCUCC